ACUACUUGGAUAACCGUGGUAAUUCUAGAGCUAAUACAUGCUGAAAACCCCGACCCCUGGGAGGGGUGUAUUUAUUAGAUUAAAAACCAAUGCCCUCUGGGCUCUCUGGUGAUUCAUGAUAACUCGUCGAAUCGCACGGCCUUGCGCCGGCGAUGGUUCAUUCAAAUUUCUUCCCUAUCAGCUUUCGAUGUUUGGGUAGUGGCCAAACAUGGCUGCAACGGGUAACGGAGGGUUAGGGCUCGACCCCGGAGAAGGAGCCUGAGAAACGGCUACUACAUCCAAGGAAGGCAGCAGGCGCGCAAAUUACCCAAUCCCGACACGGGGAGGUAGUGACAAUAAAUACUGAUACAGGGCUCUUUUGGGUCUUGUAAUUGGAAUGAGUACAAUUUAAAUCCCUUAACGAGGAACAAUUGGAGGGCAAGUCUGGUGCCAGCAGCCGCGGUAAUUCCAGCUCCAAUAGCGUAUAUUAAAGUUGUUGUGGUUAAAAAGCUCGUAGUUGAACCUUGGGCCUGGCUGGCCGGUCCGCCUCACCGCGUGCACUGGUCCGGCCGGGCCUUUCCCUCCGCGGAACCCCAUGCCCUUCACUGGGCGUGGCGGGGAAACGGGACUUUUACUUUGAAAAAAUUAGAGUGCUCCAGGCAGGCCUAUGCUCGAAUACAUUAGCAUGGAAUAAUGAAAUAGGACGCGCGGUUCUAUUUUGUUGGUUUCUAGGACCGCCGUAAUGAUUAAUAGGGACAGUCGGGGGCAUCAGUAUUCAAUUGUCAGAGGUGAAAUUCUUGGAUCAAUUGAAGACUAACUACUGCGAAAGCAUUUGCCAAGGAUGUUUUCAUUAAUCAGGAACGAAAGUUAGGGGAUCGA
This 858-nucleotide ribosomal RNA is filed under the name Hirsutella sp. RNAcentral's name for it is "SSU rRNA". It matches the Rfam family "Eukaryotic small subunit ribosomal RNA", at positions 134 to 1001 of the family's 1831-position model. Lineage: Eukaryota; Fungi; Ascomycota; Sordariomycetes; Hypocreales; Ophiocordycipitaceae. The record is from RNAcentral.